Molecule: non-coding RNA, 2810 nt
Organism: Nothobranchius furzeri (turquoise killifish)
Lineage: Eukaryota; Metazoa; Chordata; Actinopteri; Cyprinodontiformes; Nothobranchiidae
Source: RefSeq, a predicted model, not a curated record
AAUAAAUGAAAAGCUUGAAUUUCAGCAUCAUGAGCUACCUCUGGCGUGUCACUGCUGGAUCCACAAACCCAACUACACCUUCUGUAAAAGGCUCAUUCACACAAAUGCAAAAAACAAUAAAAUUUUAGGUCUUAAAAUUAAAAAAUGUUAACAAAUGAUUUACUGAUUCAUUCUUGCAGGCACGCCUCAGCAGGUUUCAUUAGUUAUGGUUGUGGCUUGUGGAGACGAGACUGUGAGAAGGAUUAAGUGCCGAGGUCUUUUUCAGGUCAGCGUGUUGCUUUCUUUUACAAAAGUGGGACAGAGACUGCAACAGGCACCUCUGGAAAAUCACAAGACUGCCAGACUGAUGACUGAGACUCAGCUCAGAUUUCCAGGAACCAUUGCAGCAACCAUGUUUAGCCCAACGGCAUCAAAACAGAUGAUCACGUUAGGAGCCGACAGUGCAAAUAGUCAGAUGAAGGUUCACUUCUGAGAUCCUCUGUGCAUAAUCCAGUCACCAGUUGGCGCUCCACAGCAAAAAAAGAACAAUGACAUGAAAAAAGCAAAAAGAAGACUGGAGCACCCAAAGUGACAAAAUAUUUAACAAGUGCCAGCACACAAAAAGACUAACGUUUCAACACCCGCUUGUCAUGUUCCUGGGCAGAGGUGAGUCACACCAUCUCCUCUCACCGGACUCUGAGCUAAUUCUCCACAGGUGAGGAGCAGGGGGAGCGGCAGCUGCAGGAGAUUUCCCAAUCAGGGACGCGGGUUCAAAAGGAGGAUGGAGACACAUCACUUUGCCGGAUGAUUGCACCAAUUUAGGAUCCUCUCCUCAUCUACUCACCUUCGCUGUCUUCGUUCCCUGUAUAAUACACAUCGCGUCCCAUCCUCCUUCGCUGCUCCUAAUUGGCUUCCCUCUGCUACCUCGCCUCUCCUGGACUUCUCACCCUCUGCCCAGCGUCCUUCCUGGCUUCCUCUCAUCUCAUCAACCUGAGCACUUCAGAGACUCGAGCCGUAUUGCUCAUCCCACAGGACUUCCCUGUGCGGUUUCAGUUCCCGUUUUUAUAAUAAACAUUUUACUUUACUGCUUUGGACUAAGUGUGUUGAUUCUGCAUGUCUUGGGUUAGGCACUUACCUCGAGUCAUGACACCGCUUGUGUCUUCUUCAGAUGUUACUGACAAAGACACGGUGUUCUUUUUGCUUUUUUCAAGUCAGAUGAAGGUUAUUUGUAGGUUUGAGAAAUCUGUGACAUGGAUGAAGCUGUUUAAACAGUCAGCUCCUCCAAGAUCUAAGAUAAUUUAUGUCCACAAAGCAGGAGUGACUUUAAGGUUUUUGUUUUGUAAUUUCACUGAAGGUCAUGUUGGGGUCAUCUUGGGUUCUGGAGAGCUGAACUUGUGCUUGAAAAGCAAAUGAAAACACUUGUUUUACAGGAAUAGACCAGAAAAACCUGGCGGUGCAGCGUUGGGCUGCAGUCACACCUGCACAAAUAAAUGAGACAUAAGAGCUCUCAGAAGAAGGCUUGUACUGAACUCCCACCACAGAGUUCAGUACCAGGAGUUCACAAACAAACAGCAAAACAGGUGAAGUAACUCAAGUACGAACCAAAUAGUUAAUGGAAGUAUUUCAAGUAACUGUUUGGUUGUUUGUCUGAAAGUUGUUGAAAAAUGAAAAAAGUAUCACAGCGACCAGCAUCCUGGCAUGCGAUCCAUGAUGCAAUGCUCCCUGUCUCAAUUUGGCACUUCAUUGCACACUUGUGUACCAUGCACAUGAAACCUUACAGACCAUGUACUUAUUUGUAACAAGCGAUUACAAAACUUUUGCCAUUCAUAAAUGUUGUUUUACACAUUAAACCUCUUCACUCGUUGCCUGUGAGGAAGGAGAGUCUGACGUGCUUGUCAUUUUGCUGGAGGUUGAGUGGAUUAUGUGGCAGACCAGGUGAAAUGAGCCCUGUAACUGUAAACUGGCAUUUGAUGGAUGCCUAACUUUAAUAAACCACUCACAUCAUAAUGGAGCCUAAGAACGAAACCAGUCCAUGGCACAAACACCUGAAUAAGAAACACACACACACAAAAAUAAAUCACUCACUCUAAUAUUUUGUUGGACUGCCUUUAGCUUUGAUUAUGGCAAGCAUUAGCUGUGUUGUUUUUUUGAUAAGCUUCGGCAACAUCGUCAGAUUUGUUUCCAUCCAGUGUUGCAUUAAUGUCUCACCAAGAUCUUGUAUUGAUGAUGGUAGUCUGACCGCUGCACAAAGCCUUCUCCAGCACAUCCCAAAAAGUCUCAAUGGGGUGGAGGUCUGGACUCUGUGGUGGCCAAUCCAUGUGUGAAAAUGAUGUCUCAUGCUCCCUGAACCACUCGUUCACUAUUUGAUCCUGAUGAAUCCUGGCAUCGUCAUCCUGGAAUAUGGCCCUGCCAUCAGGAAGAUGGAAUAACCUGAUCAAUCAGGAUAUUCAGGUAGUCAGCUGACCUCAUUCUUGGAGCACAUCCUGUUGCUGAACCUAGACCUGACCACCUGCAGCAAGCCCAGAUCAUAGCACUGCCCCCACAGGCUUGUAGAGUAGGCACUAGGCAUGAUGGGUGCAUCACUUCAUCUGCCUCUCUUCUUACCCUGAUGCACCAUCACUCUGGAACUCAUCAGACCACACAACCUUCUUCCAAUUCUCCAGAGUGAAAUAUUUAUGCUCCCUAGCAAACUGAAGGCUUUUCUUCCUGGUUUGCCUCACUGAUUAGUGGUUUUCUCAUGGCUACACAGCUGUUCAGUCCCAAUCCCUUGAGUUCCCAUUUCACGGUGUGUGAAAAUGCUCUUACGUUCCCUAUUAAACAGCCCUGAGUUC